This 673-nucleotide ribosomal RNA is filed under the name Paramyrothecium roridum. RNAcentral describes it as "SSU rRNA". It matches the Rfam family "Eukaryotic small subunit ribosomal RNA", at positions 87 to 768 of the family's 1831-position model. The record is from RNAcentral. Lineage: Eukaryota; Fungi; Ascomycota; Sordariomycetes; Hypocreales; Stachybotryaceae.
CUGCGAAUGGCUCAUUAUAUAAGUUAUCGUUUAUUUGAUAGUACCUUACUACUUGGAUAACCGUGGUAAUUCUAGAGCUAAUACAUGCUAAAAAUCCCGACUUCGGAAGGGAUGUAUUUAUUAGAUUAAAAACCAAUGCCCUCUGGGCUCCUUGGUGAUUCAUGAUAACUUCUCGAAUCGCAUGGCCUUGUGCCGGCGAUGGUUCAUUCAAAUUUCUUCCCUAUCAACUUUCGAUGUUUGGGUAGUGGCCAAACAUGGUUGCAACGGGUAACGGAGGGUUAGGGCUCGACCCCGGAGAAGGAGCCUGAGAAACGGCUACUACAUCCAAGGAAGGCAGCAGGCGCGCAAAUUACCCAAUCCCGACACGGGGAGGUAGUGACAAUAAAUACUGAUACAGGGCUCUUUUGGGUCUUGUAAUUGGAAUGAGUACAAUUUAAAUCCCUUAACGAGGAACAAUUGGAGGGCAAGUCUGGUGCCAGCAGCCGCGGUAAUUCCAGCUCCAAUAGCGUAUAUUAAAGUUGUUGUGGUUAAAAAGCUCGUAGUUGAACCUUGGGCCUGGCUGGCCGGUCCGCCUCACCGCGUGUACUGGUCCGGCCGGGCCUUUCCCUCUGUGGAACCCCAUGCCCUUCACUGGGUGUGGCGGGGAAACAGGACUUUUACUUUGAAAAAAUUA